GGGGGAUAGCCCGGGGAAACCCGGAUUAAUACCGCAUAAGAUAGUUGGAUGGCAUCAUUUGACUAUGAAACAUUUAUGGCUGAAAGAAGGGCAUGCGUAAGAUUAGUUAGUUGGUAGGGUAACGGCUUACCAAGACAGUGAUCUUUAGGGGUUCUGAGAGGAAGAUCCCCCACACUGGUACUGAGACAGGGACCAGACUCCUACGGGAGGCAGCAGUAGGGAAUAUUGGGCAAUGCACGCAAGUGUGACCCAGCCAUGCCGCGUGCAGGAAGAAGGCCUUCUGGGUUGUAAAACUGCUUUUGCAAGCCAACAAAACGCUGCCUGCGGGCAGCCUUGAGGGUAGCUUGAGAAUAAGCACCGGCUAACUCCGUGCCAGCAGCCGCGGUAAUACGGAGGGUGCAAGCGUUGUCCGGAUUUAUUGGGUUUAAAGGGUGCGUAGGCGGGAGAUUAAGUCAGGGGUGAAAGACGAUUGCUCAACGAUCGCAGUGCCUUUGAUACUGAUUUUCUUGAGUGCAG
This 516-nucleotide ribosomal RNA is filed under the name uncultured bacterium. RNAcentral describes it as "bacterial SSU rRNA". It matches the Rfam family "Bacterial small subunit ribosomal RNA", at positions 138 to 651 of the family's 1533-position model. The record is from RNAcentral.